CCUACGGGAGGCAGCAGUAGGGAAUCUUCGGCAAUGGGGGCAACCCUGACCGAGCAACGCCGCGUGAGUGAAGAAGGUUUUCGGAUCGUAAAGCUCUGUUGUUAGAGAAGAAUGAUGGUGGGAGUGGAAAAUCCACCAAGUGACGGUAACUAACCAGAAAGGGACGGCUAACUACGUGCCAGCAGCCGCGGUAAUACGUAGGUCCCGAGCGUGGUCCGGAUUUAUUGGGCGUAAAGCGAGCGCAGGCGGUUUUUUAAGUCUGAAGUUAAAGGCAUUGGCUCAACCAAUGUACGCUUUGGAAACUGGAGAACGUGAGUGCAGAAGGGGAGAGUGGAAUGCCAUGUGUAGCGGUGAAAUGCGUAGAUAUAUGGAGGAACACCGGUGGCGAAAGCGGCUCUCUGGUCUGUAACUGACGCUGAGGCUCGAAAGCGUGGGGAGCAAACAGGAUUAGAUACCCUAGUAGUC
RNAcentral lists this ribosomal RNA (465 nucleotides) under uncultured Streptococcus sp. Its description in RNAcentral is "bacterial SSU rRNA". It matches the Rfam family "Bacterial small subunit ribosomal RNA", at positions 338 to 795 of the family's 1533-position model. Lineage: Bacteria; Bacillati; Bacillota; Bacilli; Lactobacillales; Streptococcaceae. The record is from RNAcentral.